AGCCUGAUGCAGCCAUGCCGCGUGUGUGAAGAAGGCCUUCGGGUUGUAAAGCACUUCAGUCGUGAGGAAGGUAGUGUAGUUAAUAGCUGCAUUAUUUGACGUUAGCGACAGAAGAAGCACCGGCUAACUCCGUGCCAGCAGCCGCGGUAAUACGGAGGGUGCGAGCGUUAAUCGGAAUUACUGGGCGUAAAGCGCAUGCAGGUGGUUUGUUAAGUCAGAUGUGAAAGCCCGGGGCUCAACCUCGGAAUUGCAUUUGAAACUGGCAGACUAGAGUACUGUAGAGGGGGGUAGAAUUUCAGGUGUAGCGGUGAAAUGCGUAGAGAUCUGAAGGAAUACCGGUGGCGAAGGCGGCCCCCUGGACAGAUACUGACACUCAGAUGCGAAAGCGUGGGGAGCAAACAGGAUUAGAUACCCUGGUAGUCCACGCCGUAAACGAUGUCUACUUGGAGUUGUGGCCUUGAGCCGUGGCUUUCGGAGCUAACGCGUUAAGUAGACCGCCUGGG
This 503-nucleotide ribosomal RNA is filed under the name Vibrio sp. 4WN1 6. RNAcentral describes it as "bacterial SSU rRNA". It matches the Rfam family "Bacterial small subunit ribosomal RNA", at positions 380 to 877 of the family's 1533-position model. The record is from RNAcentral. Lineage: Bacteria; Pseudomonadati; Pseudomonadota; Gammaproteobacteria; Vibrionales; Vibrionaceae.